RNAcentral lists this ribosomal RNA (498 nucleotides) under Triticum aestivum (bread wheat). Its description in RNAcentral is "partial small subunit ribosomal RNA". The record is from RNAcentral. Lineage: Eukaryota; Viridiplantae; Streptophyta; Magnoliopsida; Poales; Poaceae.
AUGGAUUCAGAGGAGGAGUCUGCUUCUGAGGAGGCGGAGGUGGAGUCUGAAGAGGAGUCCGACCCUGGCGUUGCAAGUCUGGCUCUAGCCACAGCCUAUGUUGCCAAGUCCAUCUUCAACACUGAAGACAAUGACUUCCACACCAACGCUGAAGCUGAUGACAAAGAUGACCAUGCUCCCACCUACUGCUUCAUGGCACAUGGUGCCAAGGGUAUGACACCUCAUGCUUCAGAAUGGAUUAUGGACAGCGGAUGCACUAAUCAUAUGACUGGUGCUCGAAGUCUUCUCAUGGACUCAACCUUACGUCCAUCAGACAAGAGUCACAUCACAUUUGCUGACACUGGUAAAAGCAAGGUAUUGGGUCUAGGUAGAGUUGCAAUCUCAAAGGAUCAACACAUGGAUAAAGUGAUGCUUGUUGAAUCCCUUGGUUUCAACUUAAUGUCUGUCUCAAUGCUUUGUGACUUGAACAUGAUUGUGCUAUUCGGAAAAUAUCGUUGA